Molecule: non-coding RNA, 551 nt
Organism: Peromyscus maniculatus bairdii (prairie deer mouse)
Lineage: Eukaryota; Metazoa; Chordata; Mammalia; Rodentia; Cricetidae
Source: RefSeq, a predicted model, not a curated record
CAUAGGAAGACGCUCCCCUUGUCACUGCUGAAGACAGAGCAGAAUCACCCCAUGCUGGUGGAACUGAAGAACAGUGAGAUCUACAAUGGGCACCUGGUGAGCUGCGACAACUGGAUGAACAUCAGAGAGGUGAUCUGCAUGUCGAGGGACAGCAACAAGUUCUGGUGAAUGCUACAUCCAUGGCAGCACCAUCAAGUACCUGCGUAUCCCUGAUGAGAUCAUCGACAUGGUGCGGGAGGAGGCCGCCAAGGGUCAAGGGCGAGGGGGACCAUAGCAGCAGAAGCAGCAGAAAGUCCGAGGCAUGGGCGGUGCUGGCCGAGGUGUGUUUGGUGGCCGGGGCUGGGGUGGCAUCCCGGGUGCGGGCCGUGGUCAGCCUGAGAAUAAACCAGGACGGCAAGCGGGCAAGCAGUGAAUGGGCACAGCCCAAGCAGAGUCCAGGACGGUGGGCUAGCCUCUGGGCGCCUUUGCGUGAAGCCUUUGACUGCCACUGGCUCAGUUUCUGGAAGGUUCCAAGUCAGAGGCACCUCUAAAGCCUUGGAUGUUCUUUGAAG